RNAcentral lists this long non-coding RNA (2103 nucleotides) under Mus musculus (house mouse). Its description in RNAcentral is "long non-coding RNA chr8:11747342-11749445". Lineage: Eukaryota; Metazoa; Chordata; Mammalia; Rodentia; Muridae. The record is from RNAcentral.
AUAGGCAUGGUGCGCCUGGUUACAACUAAUGGCAAAUAUUGAUAUGUGAUUAUUGUCCCAGAGAUGAGUAAUCAGAGCUUCCUGACCCCAGGGACCGAGGCCACAAAGUUGAAGAUCCCAGGGCCACCCUUGGUAAGAGCUUUUGUGUCAUGUCAUAGCAGGACAGAAGGGCAGGUGAGCACUUAAGGGGCAGAGAGAAGCCGGCCAGACCACCCCCUCUCAUUAGACACCUCCGCCUGCUGUGGCUGUUAGCCCUCCAAGAGGUCAGAUUUCAGCAUGAGCUGCAGGGACAUUGAGAUAAUAGCAAUUAGUAGCCCAGGUUCAGUUUCCUAGGCUCCACUCAGCUCGGUUCUUGACAAGUGUGUAAUGGUGUACAUGUGCUUCACAGCAUAGCAGGGCACAGCCUCUCUGCCACCAGAUCCCUGCCUCUCCGUGUCCUCCUGCAGCCAUGGGCAGCUACUGACCUUCAAAUGUACCCAACGUCUGUCUCCGGACACGGCCUAGACGCAUGGUGUUUUUUCCAGGUGUUGUCUUCAAGGGCAGACUCGGAGGCCCGUCUUACUUUGACCCUGUAGCUGUGAUCAACAACUUGGGUUUAUUUAUCUUACAACUCUCAGGUCACUCCAUUACUGGGGGGAGGGGGAGUCAAGGCAGGAACUGAAGCAGAGGGGAGGGCAGAAUGCUGUUCACUGGCUGGCUUUUCAUGGCUGGCUCAGUCUGCUUUCCUAGAGCUCCCAGUACUACCUACCCAGGGGCAGCACUCCCCACAGUGGGCUAAGCCCUUCCAAUCAAUCUUUGACCAAGAAAAUACUACCAUAUGCUUGCUUGAUGCUAUGGCUUGGGCCAGUGUCCCUCAGAGCCUGCAUGUUAAAGCUUGUUCACCAAGCUCUGGAAGACCGUAGAACCUUUAAGCGGUGGGUGAGGCGUGACCACUGAGGGUGAGCUCCUGAAGGAGAGGCAAGUCCUUGGUCUUUUCCUCUUCCUCUCUCUGCUCUUUGGCUGCCAUGAAUGAACGAACAGCUUCCUCUGCUGUGCAACCCUGCUGUCAUGUGCUGUCUUCACAUAAGACUCAAACCCCUGGGACCGAGGAACCAAACCUGAGCUAUGAGCACAGACAAGCUUUUCCUCUUUAUGACGUGUGCGUUGUCUCUGGUGUUUGUUAUAGUAGUGGAAAGCUGACGAAUUCUUGACACCAAUGAGCUGUCCAUUCAGAUCUUACUUGCCUUUCUGUGUUUUAGAUUUAGUUUAUGUCCGUGGCUUUGUACUAUGUGCACACAGCUCAUCUAGAAGCCAGAAGAGGGCAUUGGAGUCUCUAGAACUGUAGUUAAGACUGCUUGCUGUGAGCCAUCAUGUGGGUGCUGGGACUUGAAUCUGGGUCCUCUGCAAGAACAGCCAGUGAGUGCUCUUAACUGUUGAGCCAGCAAUCCCACCCCCUUUACUCAUAUUUUAAAUUGAGCUAUUUGUUGUCUAUUUUUUGAGUUUUUAAGAGUUCUUUCUUUCUUUUUUUAAAGAUUUGUUUAUUAUUAUAGAUAAGUAAACUGUAGCUGACUUCAGAUGCACCAGAAGAGGGCAUCAGAUCUCAUUACAGGUGGUUGUGAGCAGCCAUAUGGUUGCUGGGAUUUGAACUCAGGACCUUCAGAAGAGUACUUGCUGAGCCAUCUUGCUAGCCCCAAGAGUUCUUUCUAUUUGAGGAUACGGGUCUUUUAUUGUUGUUUUAUUUUGUGUGUGAGAGUAUCUUGCCUACAUAUCUGUCUGUGCAUCACUGUGUUCAGUGCCCUUAGAAGCUGGAGAGGGUGUUGGAUUCUUUGGAACUAGAGUUACAGGUGGUUGUGAGCUACCAUGUAAGUGCUAGGAAUCAAACCUGGGUCCUCUUCAAGAGCAGCCAGUACUCUUAAAACGCUUGGACUUCUCUCCAACCCCAGAAUAUAGGUCUUUGUGUUUGAGUCUUGCGAAUAUUUUUCCCCAGUCUGUGGCUUGUCUUUCACUCUCUCAAAGGAUCAGGUUAUAAGCAAUGGGAUGUCUCAGUUGUGGAAACAUGGACAGAAGAAAUAGCCAGUGGGUGCACUUGCAACCACUGAAGGUCGAAUUUUCUAAGUGUGUUUC